Long non-coding RNA from Camelina sativa (false flax), 485 nucleotides. RefSeq lists it as uncharacterized. NCBI's taxonomy places the organism in Eukaryota, Viridiplantae, Streptophyta, Magnoliopsida, Brassicales, Brassicaceae. The record is from RefSeq and is a predicted model, not a curated record.
UAAUAAGAUCAUAACCCACACAAAAUACAUAAAAGAAUUGUUAGUGAGAGCAAGAACAAGUAACGGAAAAUGGAUUUGCUGGUGAUUUUGGUGCUAUGCAUCGUUCUUAUAGUCUUGGUGGCUGUUGGUGUUUGCCUAUGUUGCCUCUGUAAAAAGGGUUCCAAUAAGAAGAAGCCGGCCGACCCCAGUGGUGAGGUUUAGGAGAGUCCGAAGUGAGUAAAACAUGAGAUACUUUGAUGAUAUUUGUAAAUUUAUUAUUGGUUCAAAUUUGUUUUUGAUUUAAAUUUUAAAUCUAUAACUUAAUUAUAAUAUAUUGGAACUACUGAUAUUAUAUAUUUGUGAGAUACCAUUAGAGUAUCUAGACUAGUGUGGAUGCUCUGACGGGAAUUUGUAUUUCCUUGAAUAAGACAUAUUACAAAGUAUAAGCGAUAAGCAUAUGUAUUGGCGAAAAGUCUAUGAUAUAUUGCUACAAUGGUUUAAAAUGU